UGCUCUUCCUAUCUGUCCCCCACUACCACAAAUUAUGCAGUCGAGUUUCCCACAUUUGGGGAAAUCGCAGGGGUCAGCACAUCCGGAGUG
Molecule: long non-coding RNA, 90 nt
Organism: Cercocebus atys (sooty mangabey)
Lineage: Eukaryota; Metazoa; Chordata; Mammalia; Primates; Cercopithecidae
Exons: 3
Source: RefSeq, a predicted model, not a curated record